Molecule: long non-coding RNA, 747 nt
Organism: Folsomia candida
Lineage: Eukaryota; Metazoa; Arthropoda; Collembola; Entomobryomorpha; Isotomidae
Exons: 2
Source: RefSeq, a predicted model, not a curated record
CACAUACUUUAAAAAAUGGUUUCUAUAAAGUUCCUGGUCAUGAUCGGAGUGAUAACGGCGCUGUGUCAGGUCAGCGCUACGCCCCUCCCGCUGCCGCAGAGUUACACUGAUCAGGCGCUCUACUACCCGUACAUCGGAUGGUGGGGACUUCAAGGAUCUGCAUCUGGAGCUGACCAAGAUAAUGACGCGGACUUUUUCGAGCGUAAUCGUAGGUUUGGAUAUUCUUCCGUUCUAGGCUGAAGGCUGGAAUGAGGAGAAAAUAAAUUUAGAUUUUGGCUGGAAGACUUGCUAAGCACUCUUGGUUACUAAAAAUUACGUGAAUUGUUACCUAUUACGGUACAAAAUCGAACGAAAUUUUCAUUUUAUCAUUCUACGAAUACUACUGCGAAUGCGAAUUAUUUUUUUCCAUACUCGCUCACAAAGAAGUACUUACAUAUAAACAUUCGAUGACGUAUUAUAUUUUUGAGGAUCAUUUGUUUGCGUCAAAUAUUUGUUAUGUCAUAAAUUAUUAAAUACAAGAACACUUUUGUGAACUACGUGUGCAUACAAAGUUCAUAUAGUUUUACAAUAAGUGAAAUGAGUUUUGUUUCCAAUUUUAAUAGAUAAGUAUUUCCCUCUUAUUUUAUUCUGCUAAUUACUUUUGCAUCCUCAAUUUUAGCCAAUCCAAUAACCGGAUUAAUAUCACACGCAAAUGAAAAUGACAAUAAAAAUAAUAUUAAUGUCCACAUAUACUCAGACACAACCAUA